GGAUAGCUCAGUUGGUUAGAGCGUGGUGCUGAUAACGCCAAGGUUGCAGGUUCGAUCCCCUUAAGGGACA
RNAcentral lists this transfer RNA (70 nucleotides) under Podarcis lilfordi (Lilford's wall lizard). RNAcentral describes it as "tRNA.Ile". The stretch from base 4 to 62 matches the Rfam family "tRNA", at positions 8 to 63 of the family's 71-position model. From Rfam's summary of the family: Transfer RNA (tRNA) molecules are approximately 80 nucleotides in length. Their secondary structure includes four short double-helical elements and three loops (D, anti-codon, and T loops). Lineage: Eukaryota; Metazoa; Chordata; Lepidosauria; Squamata; Lacertidae. The record is from RNAcentral.